CUUAAAUAAAGAAGGUAAGAAACCUAGGACCAAAGCACCUAAGAUUCAGCGUCUUGUGACAGAUAGGAAGAG
This is a long non-coding RNA of Tupaia belangeri chinensis (Chinese tree shrew), 72 nucleotides long. RefSeq lists it as uncharacterized. NCBI's taxonomy places the organism in Eukaryota, Metazoa, Chordata, Mammalia, Scandentia, Tupaiidae. The transcript has 3 exons. The record is from RefSeq and is a predicted model, not a curated record.